This is a non-coding RNA of Acanthosepion pharaonis, 111 nucleotides long. NCBI's taxonomy places the organism in Eukaryota, Metazoa, Mollusca, Cephalopoda, Sepiida, Sepiidae. The record is from the annotation of a GenBank genome assembly.
UACGGCAAUAUCACGUUGAAGCACAAGUUCCUGUACCAUCACCGAAGUUAAGCAUCGUUGAGCCUGCUCAGUACCUAGAUGUGUCACCACCUGGGAAUACCAGUGGCUGUA